Non-coding RNA from Bos taurus (domestic cattle), 72 nucleotides. NCBI's taxonomy places the organism in Eukaryota, Metazoa, Chordata, Mammalia, Artiodactyla, Bovidae. The record is from Rfam.
ACCCUGGCAGUUCAGUGGUUAGGACUUGGCACUUUCACUGCCAAGGCCCAGGUUCAGUCCCUGGCCAGGGAA